GGAAGAGUGGCCGAGUGGCUGAAGGCGCACGCCUGGAAAGCGUGUUAACGGGAAACUGUUACGUGAGUUCGAAUCUCACCUCUUCCGCCA
Molecule: transfer RNA, 90 nt
Filed under: Deltaproteobacteria bacterium
Lineage: Bacteria; Pseudomonadati; Myxococcota; Myxococcia
Description: tRNA-Ser
Rfam family: tRNA
About the family: Transfer RNA (tRNA) molecules are approximately 80 nucleotides in length.
Source: RNAcentral